RNAcentral lists this transfer RNA (53 nucleotides) under Peripatoides sp. DVL-2010. RNAcentral describes it as "tRNA-Met". The record is from RNAcentral. Lineage: Eukaryota; Metazoa; Onychophora; Udeonychophora; Euonychophora; Peripatopsidae.
AAAUUUAGUAAGCUUUAAGCUUUUGGAUUCAUAAUUCAAUGAUAGAUUUAUAU